This 75-nucleotide transfer RNA is filed under the name Ixodes scapularis (black-legged tick). It matches the Rfam family "tRNA". From Rfam's summary of the family: Transfer RNA (tRNA) molecules are approximately 80 nucleotides in length. Their secondary structure includes four short double-helical elements and three loops (D, anti-codon, and T loops). Lineage: Eukaryota; Metazoa; Arthropoda; Arachnida; Ixodida; Ixodidae. The record is from Rfam by way of RNAcentral.
CCCUGGUUAGCUCAGUUGGUAGAGCGCUCCACUGAAAAUGGGGGGAGGUCCUGGGUUCGAUACCCCGACCAGGCG